Molecule: ribosomal RNA, 459 nt
Filed under: uncultured bacterium
Lineage: Bacteria
Description: partial 16S ribosomal RNA
Rfam family: Bacterial small subunit ribosomal RNA
Source: RNAcentral
CCUACGGGUGGCAGCAGUGAGGAAUAUUGGUCAAUGGCCGCGGGCCUGAACCAGCCAAGUCGCGUGAAGGAUGACUGCCCUACGGGUUGUAAACUUCUUUUAUCAGGGAAUAAAGUGCGCCACGUGUGCCGUUUUGCGAGUACUUUAUGAAAAAGGAUCGGCUAACUCCGUGCCAGCAGCCGCGGUAAUACGGAGGAUUCGAGCGUUAUCCGGAUUUAUUGGGUUUAAAGGGUGCGAGGAGGGAUUGUAAAGUCAGUGGUAAAAUUUCGGGGGCAAACCCCGUAGUGCCGUUGAGACUGGCAUCCUUGAGUGAAGUAGAGGUAUGCGGAAUGCGUGGUGUAGCGGUGAAAUGCAUAGAUAUCACGCAGAACUCCGAUUGCGAAGGCAGCAUACCAAAGUGCCACUGACGCUGAUGCUCGAAAGUGUGGGUAUCGAACAGGAUUAGAUACCCCAGUAGUC